Molecule: ribosomal RNA, 497 nt
Filed under: uncultured bacterium
Lineage: Bacteria
Description: partial 16S ribosomal RNA
Rfam family: Bacterial small subunit ribosomal RNA
Source: RNAcentral
GAUGAACGCUGGCGGCGUGCCUAAUACAUGCAAGUCGAGCGAACGGACGAGAAGCUUGCUUCUCUGAUGUUAGCGGCGGACGGGUGAGUAACACGUGGAUAACCUACCUAUAAGACUGGGAUAACUUCGGGAAACCGUAGCUAAUACCGGAUAAUAUUUUGAACCGCAUGGUUCAAAAGUGAAAGACGGUCUUGCUGUCACUUAUAGAUGGAUCCGCGCUGCAUUAGCUAGUUGGUAAGGUAACGGCUUACCAAGGCAACGAUGCAUAGCCGACCUGAGAGGGUGAUCGGCCACACUGGAACUGAGACACGGUCCAGACUCCUACGGGAGGCAGCAGUAGGGAAUCUUCCGCAAUGGGUGAAAGCCUGACGGAGCAACGCCGCGUGAGUGAUGAAGGUCUUCGGAUCGUAAAACUCUGUUAUUAGGGAAGAACAUAUGUGUAAGUAACUGUGCACAUCUUGGCGGUACCUAAUCAGAAAGCCACGGCUAACUACGUG